UAGUUGGUGGGGUAACGGCUCACCAAGGCCACGAUGCGUAGCCGACCUGAGAGGGUGAUCGGCCACAUUGGGACUGAGACACGGCCCAAACUCCUACGGGAGGCAGCAGUAGGGAAUCUUCCGCAAUGGACGAAAGUCUGACGGAGCAACGCCGCAUGAGUGAAGAAGGCCUUCGGGUCGUAAAACUCUGUUGCCGGGGAAGAACAAGUGCCGUUCGAACAGGGCGGCGCCUUGACGGUACCCGGCCAGAAAGCCACGGCUAACUACGUGCCAGCAGCCGCGGUAAUACGUAGGUGGCAAGCGUUGUCCGGAAUUAUUGGGCGUAAAGCGCGCGCAGGCGGCUUCUUAAGUCUGAUGUGAAAUCUUGCGGCUCAACCGCAAGCGGUCAUUGGAAACUGGGAGGCUUGAGUGCAGAAGAGGAGAGUGGAAUUCCACGUGUAGCGGUGAAAUGCGUAGAGAUGUGGAGGAACACCAGUGGCGAAGGCGGCUCUCUGGUCUGUAACUGACGCUGAGGCGCGGAAGCGUGGGGAGCAAACAGGAUUAGAUACCCUGGUAGUCCACGCCGUAAACGAUGAGUGCUAAGUGUUAGAGGGUUUCCGCCCUUUAGUGCUGCAGCUAACGCAUUAAGCACUCCGC
RNAcentral lists this ribosomal RNA (636 nucleotides) under uncultured Bacillota bacterium. Its description in RNAcentral is "bacterial SSU rRNA". It matches the Rfam family "Bacterial small subunit ribosomal RNA", at positions 246 to 872 of the family's 1533-position model. The record is from RNAcentral. Lineage: Bacteria; Bacillati; Bacillota.